AGCGGCGGACGGGUGAGUAACGCGUGGGUAACCGUGCCUCAUAUAGGGGGAUAACAGUUGGAAACGGCUGCUAAUACCGCAUAAGCGCACAGUACCGCAUGGUACGGUGUGAAAAACUCCGGUGGUAUGAGAUGGACCCGCGUCUGAUUAGGUAGUUGGUGGGGUAACGGCCUACCAAGCCGACGAUCAGUAGCCGACCUGAGAGGGUGACCGGCCACAUUGGGACUGAGACACGGCCCAA
Molecule: ribosomal RNA, 241 nt
Filed under: uncultured bacterium
Lineage: Bacteria
Description: partial 16S ribosomal RNA
Rfam family: Bacterial small subunit ribosomal RNA
Source: RNAcentral